UUAAAGCGGUACGUGAGCUGGGUUCAGACCGUCGUGAGACAGGUCGGUCCCUAUCCGGUGUGGCUGUUGGACGCUUGAGGAGGUCUCUCCCUAGUACGAGAGGAUUGGGAAGGACGAAGCUCUGGUGCACCAGUUGUCUCGCUAGAGGCACAGCUGGGUAGCUAACUUCGGAACGGAUAAGCGCUGAAAGCAUCUAAGCGCGAAGCCUUCUCCAAAACAAGGCGUCCCCAUCAGGGUCCUGGGAGACCACCAGGUUGAUAGGCGGUAGCUGUAAGCAUGGCAACAUGUUCAGGCGAGCCGUACUAAUAGCCCGAUCGGCUUGAUCCCCC
This 329-nucleotide ribosomal RNA is filed under the name Planctomycetota bacterium. RNAcentral describes it as "Planctomycetes bacterium (marine metagenome) partial 23S ribosomal RNA". It matches the Rfam family "Bacterial large subunit ribosomal RNA", at positions 2588 to 2925 of the family's 2925-position model. The record is from RNAcentral. Lineage: Bacteria; Pseudomonadati; Planctomycetota.